CCUACGGGUGGCAGCAGUGGGGAAUAUUGGACAAUGGGGGGAACCCUGAUCCAGCGACGCCGCGUGAGUGAAGAAGGUCUUCGGAUCGUAAAACCCUGUUGUUAGAGAAGAAAGUGCGUGAGAGUAACUGUUCACGUUUCGACGGUAUCUAACCAGAAAGCCACGGCUAACUACGUGCCAGCAGCCGCGGUAAUACGUAGGUGGCAAGCGUUAUCCGGAUUUAUUGGGCGUAAAGGGAACGCAGGCGGUCUUUUAAGUCUGAUGUGAAAGCCUUCGGCUUAACCGGAGUAGUGCAUUGGAAACUGGGAGACUGGAGUGCAGAAGAGGAGAGUGGAACUCGAUGUGUAGCGGUGAAAUGCGUAGAUAUAUGGAAGAACACCGGUGGCGAAGGCGGCUCUCUGGACUGUAACUGACGCUGAGGUUCGAAAGCGUGGGUAGCAAACAGGAUUAGAUACCCGAGUAGUC
This 465-nucleotide ribosomal RNA is filed under the name uncultured bacterium. Its description in RNAcentral is "partial 16S ribosomal RNA". It matches the Rfam family "Bacterial small subunit ribosomal RNA", at positions 338 to 795 of the family's 1533-position model. The record is from RNAcentral.